This 728-nucleotide ribosomal RNA is filed under the name Pichia barkeri. RNAcentral describes it as "partial 28S ribosomal RNA". It matches the Rfam family "Eukaryotic large subunit ribosomal RNA", at positions 62 to 795 of the family's 3401-position model. Lineage: Eukaryota; Fungi; Ascomycota; Pichiomycetes; Pichiales; Pichiaceae. The record is from RNAcentral.
AAACCAACAGGGAUUGCCUCAGUAGCGGCGAGUGAAGCGGCAAGAGCUCAGAUUUGAAAUCUCACCCCUUGUGGGUGCGAGUUGUAAAUUGCAGGUUGGAGUCUCGGUUUAGACGUGUGUGCAAGUCCCUUGGAACAGGGCGCCACUGAGGGUGAGAGCCCCGUAGUGUGCACGAUCGACGCUGUGAGGCCCUUCUGACGAGUCGAGUUGUUUGGGAAUGCAGCUCUAAGUGGGUGGUAAAUUCCAUCUAAGGCUAAAUAUUGGCGAGAGACCGAUAGCGAACAAGUACUGUGAAGGAAAGAUGAAAAGCACUUUGAAAAGAGAGUGAAACAGCACGUGAAAUUGUUGAAAGGGAAGGGUAUUGGGCUCGACAUGGGAUUUACGCAUCGUUGCCUCUCGUGGGCGGCGCUCUGGGUUUUUCCUGGGCCAGCAUCGGUUUCUGUUGCAGGAUAAGGACCUUUGGAAUGUGGCUCCUCGGAGUGUUAUAGCCAUUGGUAGAUGCUGCAUAUGGGGACCGAGGGCUGCGGCGGACUCGUUUUCGUCUCGGAUGCUGGCACAACGGCGCAAUACCGCCCGUCUUGAAACAUGGACCAAGGAGUCUAACGUCUAUGCGAGUGUUUGGGUGUUAAACCCGUACGCGUAAUGAAAGUGAACGUAGGUCGGACCGCUUUCCCCUUGGGGGGCGGGCACGAUCGACCGAUCCUGAUGUUUAUCGGAUGGAUUUGAGU